UGCAGUGUGCACGGCCCAAAGAAGUGACUGCCCAACACUCGCAACGUUUCAUAUUUCUCCUCUGCGCCUCGGUGAUGCCGUUUGAAAGGCCGAGGCUCGACUCUGAGCUUGCCAUCUUUCUGUCCAUAGAGUCCUGCUUCUGGCCCUUCUGACAGUCGACUAUUGAAGGUGGAACCAGCAGCGGAACUGAAAGACAGAAGCAGCAGCAGCCUUGGGACCAGUGAGAGCUCGGUUGGAGUGACAGCUCCUUCUGUUGAUGACUGAACCUGCAGUACUUCAGAUGGACCAACAGCUGGGGACAAUAGCCUUCUUUCCUCAGGCAUAAGGUUUACGAAGAAAGAGGGAGAUGGACGGAGAGGACGUCUUGGAGCCAGCAAUCCACCUGCAGUAGCUUACGACUCUGACUGCACAGCAGGAGGAGAAAACGAUGGUGCUGAACUUCACACCUAACAUUCAGAUUGAA
This is a long non-coding RNA of Poeciliopsis prolifica (blackstripe livebearer), 463 nucleotides long. RefSeq lists it as uncharacterized. The transcript is spliced from 3 exons. The record is from RefSeq and is a predicted model, not a curated record. Lineage: Eukaryota; Metazoa; Chordata; Actinopteri; Cyprinodontiformes; Poeciliidae.